Molecule: long non-coding RNA, 6465 nt
Organism: Varanus komodoensis (Komodo dragon)
Lineage: Eukaryota; Metazoa; Chordata; Lepidosauria; Squamata; Varanidae
Exons: 2
Source: RefSeq, a predicted model, not a curated record
AUUGCUGCCUGCAUCAACCCUUGUGAGCUGCGGUUGCAAGUUUGAUUUUGUCAGGCAUUUCACACUUAUUUCCCAUAAUAUCAUCAACUCUCAAGACAGACAAUCUGGUUUUCCUCUUGCUGUGUUUAAUCUCACCAUCUGUGAGGAACAAGUUUGAAAGUAUGGCACCAUCGUUAAACAAAAUGUGCAGAACUCUGUAUCAACAAUAUAUAAGGAUAUGGCAGUAACACAAAGCUCUCACUGUUGCAUGGACUGAGAAAGGGAAAAAUGUGUUUUCUAUUUUCCUGACAAUGAAAAAAAACCCGACAUGGUUUAGGAGUGUGGAACCUCCAUCUCUUAAGUGAACUGUUUGUAAUCCCUGUUUUAAUAAAAUAAUGACAUGUAUACUUAUAAGUAUCAUAACUAUACCAAUAUAGUAGUAUUGUAGGGGCUGGUGAUAUGUUUCUUCAAUCUAUAGUGUGUAAGUUUCAAUUUAAUUAUAGUAAGUAAUGUAUAUAUUUGUAAGCCGUCCCGAGGCUUUUUGCGAAGGGGGCGGCACAAAAACGCUUUAAAUAAAUAAAUAAAUAAAUAAAAUAUUUCCAUUUUUCUCCAAACUUCCUGUUUUGCUCAGAAAAAGAAUUUUGAAAAGAUUUUUGUUAGCCCCUUUCAAUAGCUACAAAAUUUUAGGAUGUUUCCCAAUAAAUGGAUUCACUGCAUUAAAUUAUACAAGAACAUAUUUUCCAUCACAAAAUCUUAAAAUAGCAGAAUUGGAAAGGGCCAAAGUGGCCACUGGAUCCAACCCCCUGCUGUUGCAGGUCACCGAUUUACACCAUCCCACUCAGAUGACUGAUCAGUUUCAUCACUGCUAUGCUGCAGAGAUUGGGUAUACAGUAAGACUCUUGGUGAAGCUGUGUCAAAUCCUUCUCUAGAAAACAGUGACAGCUAUGAGUACAUUACAUAUUCCAGGUGGCUGCCACCAGGGGUGGGGAAAGCCAGAGGCUUCUAGCUCAGUCAAUCUGAAGUGCAGUAGUUUUGAUUUCUAAAUUUCUAUGCAGUCUUGUUUAUUUCUAUUACAUGUCAUGUGCUUGGAUAUCUAUGAAGCAUGAAAUUCAAGAAGACUCAUAUGUGGGCAUCAAACCAGGCAAGCAUUAUUUUGUUUGGUUCUUCCUUUAAAGUUAUACAAAGACCUCUGGGUGUUUGCAGCUCAGCCUUGCUUUUGUUCAGGAAGGUUCAUCAACCAAGCUCAACUGGAAGCAAUAAACGCUGAAUAACUCAUUAUGUUCAUCAUGAAUUUAUGGCAGUGUUUAGUAACAACAGCAAAGCAUCAUUUCUCCUCUUGCAAUCUGAUUCAGAGUGGAAGACAAAGGGGCAAACAAAUUGUUCCAAAAGCUAUCCGUGUUGCAAAGCAAUGAAAAUAUAGUUCCAAAUGUGUUGUCUUUUGUACAACAGCCAGCAAGCAGUUACUGCUUAGAAAUCCUGUUAUCAGCUAGGUUCAGAUCAGGUGGAAACCAAAGUGCGGAGGGAGAGGAGGGAAUGAGGUCAAAGAGAAAAGGACCUCAAAGUAAAGAGAGAAAGUGGUCAUAGAAAUGGAAUUGGCCCAUGUAAGGAUCUUUCCUCCUAAAGUCCAGAUCAUUUGCAUAGACUGCUGCAGAGACAAUAUUAGAGCAGCCAAGCAUCUCUCUGUAAACAAAUCUUAUCAUGUGGAGUAACAAUGAACACAUGUAGAGGGAAGUAGCACUGUGGCAGCAGAAUCAACCCCUGACAUCUUGCCAGGCCUAGUUCCAGUGCUGCUGUGAGCACUACAGUUUCGGAAUCAGAAUCUGAUGCAGAAAGGUCUGGCGCCCAGGGCAGUCAUGAGAUGCUUGGAAACUGAGAGCUGGAGUAUGCCUGACUUCCCAUCUGAUUGCAGGUGGAAGAAGGGUGCUACUCCCUAUCAGCCACAGCUACAAGAUUGAACCAUGAGUCAGAGAUCCGAUUUACAGUCUGAGAAAUCUUGUGUGGGAAUGGAGAAUUAGGAAAAAUCUGCAGGGGAAAAGGCCAGCAAUGUGUGUGUGUGGGGGGGGGGGGCACCUAGUUGAGGCAUCAAAUGAACAGGGCAUAAUGUUAUGCAUCCUGCUAAUAGGGUGGCUUUUAUACAAAUCUAAUAACUAAAUCAAUGGGCAGCGCAGAGAUGCUUUAAAUACAGUGCUUGCUUAUGCACCUGAUUCCUGUUAUGAUAGACUACCAGAAGGGAGUUUUUAGUAGCCCCUCCCCUGCAGUCAAACUGAUGCAGAAAUAUGGAGUUGUUGCUGAAAUCAACUUCUUAAGUGCCAAAAAUUUUUUUUUGCCUGACUUACUGUGCAUCUCACAAUUCUGUCUGCUUCAAACCAUGUACCAUUAAGACUCUAUGCACUGCUGGACAUUGGACUCUGUGAGCUUCCUCGCCUAGGGACCUUCCUUUGAAGGAAGCAACACACCUUUUACUUAUGCCACCUGAUUUAUCAGGACAGUAACAGGAAAUCAUUGCCAUGAACCCUGCAAGGCUGGUCUCUGCUACCUCAUCUGCUGUAAUAGAGUUUCACUGUUCUUAGUAAGCCGUGCCAACACGCCAGAAAGCUGGAACUAAUACAGAUUCAUUAGAACAAUUCAGCAGAGCCGUCACACAUAGCUGCAUGCUGAAAGGCUGUCUACAUGUAACUGGGAAUACUGGGGUUGGGGGUCCCUUGAGAUAAUAAAUGUAUCUGUAUGUGUGUGUGUAUGUGUGUGUGUAUAUAUAUAAAUAUAUAUUGGGGACCUACUGCCACAAGACCACUUACCUACUCUGUGAGAGUUUUUAUCCCAAUGUGAAUAUAUGAAAAAGACUUGUUAUCUGAACCCAGAUGGGAAGUUAAACAUGAUCACUGGUUUUCUUAUAUGAAUGAUGUUAAAAAUUCAGAGAUAGAAUAUUCUCUCAGUCCUCUCAGUUGUGGGGUAGAAAUAACCUCUGUCACUAGGUCUGAGGCAAAAGAUGAUCUUUUAUUUUAUACUAAUAAUUAGAUAAACUAUAAUAGAGUUCAUAAAUUUUGUGAAAAUUAUAAUUUUACCCUGAUCCAUAACACAGACAAACAUGGGGUCACAUCUGCAUUUGCCUGGCAGCACAACACUUUGCCUUAUCUGAAGGGGGAAUCGUUCCAAGCAGCUCCCUCCAUCGAACCUCAAUAGCCUUUCAUGAGAGACCAGCUGGAGUUGGCUCCCCCAACUCUCAGGAGCAUCAGGAUUGCCACAACAAAAGGCAGGGUUGUAGAUUUGUGCCCCGGUGAAAUUUCCAUGGAAUGACACCAGGAAUGUUUUCUCACAACAUCUGCAGCUUAAAAGUGAUUCUAUUGACGUGUGCUUGUUACAAUUCAUUUCUGAGUAAUGGGGACUUUUCUUCCAAUUGGAAUUGCAUGUGGAGGUUUUAUUUAUUAGAUUUGAAUCAAGCACAUGGGGAUCUUAAAUUUUUUUAAAUCAAGCUAAGAAUCCUCCCACUACACUAAACCUCUCUAACAUACACACACCCCUCUUAACAGGCCCUAUCUUGUCUUUGGCCCAUACUUCCUUAAUCCAUCUCCCACAUAAACAAUGUCUCUUUCAUCAGAAAUAUAUUCAACACUUGAUAUAAAACCACUAGCCCCAACAGAUCCACUAACAUUGCCCAGUAAAACAAUGUAAACUCAUCGACCAGUGGCUCAGUACCAGGACAGAUGCUUCAGUGAUUACUAGUGAAGACACCAAAGAGUAUCAGAAUUUAAUCAUCUAAACGUGUUAUGAAAGGCUUUCCUAGCAGGAUAAUGAAAAUAGACUGUUUAUGCUGAAAUACUCAAAAGCCAACAUUCUCAUUAGCACAAGAGUUUAAAAAAAUCAUUUUAGGAAUAAUACACAAUCAUGAAAAGAUCGCUAUUAUUAGCAUUCACUGUCAACACAAAGUGGGUUUAUUUCAUGGGAGUGUCCUUUGAGGGGGAAGAGAAUUCAGGCAAAAAAAGUGCUUCCUGUUGAAAUGUUUUCAUUCGUGAUUAAAUUGGGCAACUUAAAUGAAUGCUGGGCGGUGAAUUGGGCAGUCAAUGUUCCCACUGUCAGCUGACAAGUCUUAAAUGUUACGUAACCAGGGAAGCGACUCAGGAAUGAAACAUGACUUGUAGAAUCCACAGGGGCUCUGUGGUCAGGGCCAGAUUUGCCAUGCAACAGGAUGCAGUCAACUGCUUCAGGUGGCACCAUGAGGGGGUAUAGAUGAAAUCAGAUGAACUGACAUAUGACUGGUAAUGCAAGAUUUUUUAAAGUGUUGAUUCUAGCAGGGUGUUACCAUGAGUUCUGCUGUAAUUUUUAAUUCAUUGUUUAAUGAAGGAUGUCUUCUUAGAAAUUUUGCCUUUCACGGGUUUGUUCUGUAUAUCUGUUCAAUAUUGUUAAAAAUGUACAGUUUCUAACAACAAUAACCACCUGAUUCACACAACACAAAACCUGCUGUGCAUAACCAGCCUUGGUGGGUUAUUGUGUUGUCCAAACCCAGCACAGGUUCUGCCAGGUGGCUACUUUUUCAUCGAUCAGGUCACUUUGAGAGUCCACACCUUGUUUAUGGUUGUUCUUGCACACAUUAGGUUGUUGGGAACAGAUGCAGAGCCAUUUGGCAGGAGCAGCAGACCCUCCUGCCACUCCCUUUUGUGAUCUUGCCAGCGACCGGCCUUCCACAGACGCUGAAAUGGCAUUUUGGAAAGACAGUCAUUUGUUCCUUGGCUUCUUUUUCAUUUCUCAGUGCCUCAAAAAUACACAAGAGUGCAUAGUAAAAUUCUUAUAACUGUGUGUGUGAUAGAUUGUUUUUGCAAGUGCACACUUACAGCUAUUCCAUAUGUACAGUUGUUGCUGGUCAUCUUUCUUGUCUGGUUCAGCUGUCAAAGAGAGGAGACUGCUUAUGUGCAAAUUUCUGCACAGGAGGAAGGUGGAGGAGAACAAGUCAUAUUACUGUGGGCUGUUCAGUGACUUACUGGUUUCUUCACUGUGGCUUGUUCAUAUGGUGGCUUAGCAUGAAGUGCAAAGUCAUGCAACCUCUGAAGCUACAGGUUAAGAUGUUGCUUUUUAUUUUACUGCAAACAAUUGGAAAUUCUUUUAAUACUAUGCAGCAAGAGAAUAUAUUGCAAUUGUUUGUGUUCAAGUGCAUUUUUAUUUUUCUAUUCUGUAUUCAGUGAUGUUAAUUAGUGCCCAUGAGGGAGGACAUGUUGAGCCUAUAAAUCUUCUGGAUGUGGAGUUCCUCUUGCCUUUUCCUAAAAGUCUUGUGUUCGCACUAUUAUGUGUUGUAGGCAUGCACAAACUGGCCCUCAGGUGUCUUGGCAUGCAGCUCCCCAUCUGCCAUAGUCAGCAUAGUCAAUUAUGAGGAUUUCUGGGGGUCUAGAACAAAACAUCUGGAGGGGUACAAGUUGCCCAUCUGUGAUCCACAGCUAUAGAAGAACUGACACAUUUUGGCUUACCUAACCAUUAUAGCUAGUUAUCGGAGCUUCCCUUGUCUUUCUUCUCCACCAGUGAUCCAUAAUAUUCAGGAAAAAGGUAUAAGCUUUUCACCCCAUACAGCCUGGGAUGUGGCUUCAAAGACACUUGUCUCCCAGCCUUAUUCUAUCUUAUCUUAUCUUAUCUUAUCUCCAAGUCCUUUGGAAGGAGAGAGACAUUCACUCACCUCAGGCUGUGCUGAGAUACUUUCAGAAGUGAUGAGGAUGAAGAUCUCUUGUCACCUCUAGCUGCCUGACAGCCCAACAUGAGUGAACUGCCAGUCCUUUGGGAGGAUGUAGGAGGAAAACCAUCACCUCCUCACCCUGGAAGCACCCAGCAUCUCUUGCCACUCCCAAGUCCAGAGCAAUUGCUUCUCUAUAAGAAGCCAUUACAAAGCUACCCAAUAAUAUAUUUGGUAUUACAUUUCAUUCCAAUUACAGGCCAAGGUGAUUUCUGUAGCCCCUUCACCCCAAGCUGGACAAUAUCACCAGACACACUCUCUGAGCGUGUUGCUGCUGCUCAAGUUCGCACAGAGAGAGACAGACACAAGCACAGUCACUCUUUAAUCUCUCAGUGUUUUCACCAUCACAUGGUUGAGCUUACAUAAACCACGUUCUAGUCAUUUCAGAUAAAGUCGUUCUCUUCUCGACCAGCACUGUUUCAAAGUACUUAUUCUUUUGCCCCUGUUGUUCCAGCGAUCUGAACUUUUAUCUCUACAAACAAAAUGAAAGAACUUCGAAAAUAGUAACUCUGAUAGCCCAACUUGUCUAAGAUUCCCUGCACUAAAUAUGCUUACUUGGCUGGCAGUUUCUUCACUGGAAUUCGUUUCCCGGAAUGGAAACUGCUGAAAGAAUGAAUCUCCACAUCACCCCAUUACAGUCUGUAAAUCAAGGAUCUGGAGUUACACAGGUGGAAUGAGAGCAAGAUCUCCUGUUGUUUGAGUGGACGUCUACUUGCACGAUGUUAGAUUCGUCUGUCUACAAAUGCAUAAACUACAGUAGUAAAGUACUGACUGCC